GAAAUGCGAUAAGUAGUGUGAAUUGCAGAAUUCAGUGAAUCAUCGAAUCUUUGAACGCACAUUGCGCCUUCUGGUAUUCCGGGAGGCAUGCCUGUUCGAGCGUCAUCAAAAACCUCAAUCCCCGAUUUAUCGGGGGUUGGUCUUGCACCGGAGGCGUCAGCUUCCUCUGCGAAAUCCAAUGGCGAAGAGCCACGCAACCAAAGCGUAGUAAUUUAUUCUCGCGAUGGAGAACGUGAGCGCUUCCGCCGCAAACCCCCCCAUUCUUAGUUUUUGACCUCGGAUCAGGUAGGGAUACCCGCUGAACUUAA
Molecule: unclassified non-coding RNA, 308 nt
Filed under: uncultured Pezizales
Lineage: Eukaryota; Fungi; Ascomycota; Pezizomycetes; Pezizales
Description: sequence contains ITS1
Rfam family: 5.8S ribosomal RNA (bases 1-105)
Source: RNAcentral